Molecule: ribosomal RNA, 247 nt
Filed under: uncultured Clostridium sp.
Lineage: Bacteria; Bacillati; Bacillota; Clostridia; Eubacteriales; Clostridiaceae
Description: partial 16S ribosomal RNA
Rfam family: Bacterial small subunit ribosomal RNA
Source: RNAcentral
CACGCCGUAAACGAUGAAUACUAGGUGUAGGGGUUGUCAUGACCUCUGUGCCGCCGCUAACGCAUUAAGUAUUCCGCCUGGGGAGUACGGUCGCAAGAUUAAAACUCAAAGGAAUUGACGGGGGCCCGCACAAGCAGCGGAGCAUGUGGUUUAAUUCGAAGCAACGCGAAGAACCUUACCUAGACUUGACAUCUCCUGAAUUACUCUGUAAUGGAGGAAGCCGCUUCGGCGGCAGGAAGACAGGUGG